GGCUGUGGCUCAGUGGCAGAGCGCUUGUCUAGCAUGUGUGAGGCACUGGGUUCAAUUCUCAGCACCA
This 67-nucleotide transfer RNA is filed under the name Marmota monax (woodchuck). RNAcentral's name for it is "tRNA.Ala". Lineage: Eukaryota; Metazoa; Chordata; Mammalia; Rodentia; Sciuridae. The record is from RNAcentral.